This 468-nucleotide ribosomal RNA is filed under the name uncultured bacterium. RNAcentral's name for it is "partial 16S ribosomal RNA". It matches the Rfam family "Bacterial small subunit ribosomal RNA", at positions 28 to 507 of the family's 1533-position model. The record is from RNAcentral.
GACGAACGCUGGCGGCGUGCUUAACACAUGCAAGUCGAACGGAAAGGCCCUGCUUUUGUGGGGUGCUCGAGUGGCGAACGGGUGCGUAACACGUGAGUAACCUGCCCUUGACUUUGGGAUAACUUCAGGAAACUGGGGCUAAUACCGGAUAGGAGCUCCUGCUGCAUGGUGGGGGUUGGAAAGUUUCGGCGGUUGGGGAUGGACUCGCGGCUUAUCAGCUUGUUGGUGGGGUAGUGGCUUACCAAGGCUUUGACGGGUAGCCGGCCUGCGAGGGUGACCGGCCACAUUGGGACUAAGAUACGGCCCAGACUCCUACGGGAGGCAGCAGUGGGGAAUAUUGCACAAUGGGCGGAAGCCUGAUGCAGCAACGCCGCGUGCGGGAUGACGGCCUUCGGGUUGUAAACCGCUUUCGCCUGUGACGAAGCGUGAGUGACGGUAAUGGGUAAAGAAGCACCGGCUAACUACGUG